UGCUGGUCCAUGGUGAUUUGAUGGUUGUCUGACCAUAAAAGUGUCAGAGAGUAUGAUGUUUUGAUGUUGGUUGGUACAGAUUAUGAAGGACAUGAUGGAAUCUAGAUUACAUAUCUCAGGACGGACAUUGGAGAGGAGGUAAAGAGAUAUCGGACAAGAUGGGUUUCUCUAGCUGAAAAGAAAGUAGAAAACAUUUUACUUGCUUUCUCGCUGUGCUUUGAUUGAUCAUCCGGAUGCUCUGUUAAUUUGCACUCCUCUUGGGGUGAUAUCGAGGAAAUGAUCUGAUGGGUAUUGCCUCAUCUCUCUCUUUUAAAAUCAUCUGCUCUACGGAAAUAGAUCUACUAGAUCUAAUAAAUGCGGAAAUCCUUGAUGAAAUGCAUUUGAUCU
This 387-nucleotide long non-coding RNA is filed under the name Elaeis guineensis (African oil palm). RNAcentral's name for it is "long non-coding RNA (EGUI_LNC000091)". The record is from RNAcentral. Lineage: Eukaryota; Viridiplantae; Streptophyta; Magnoliopsida; Arecales; Arecaceae.